CACCCUACGGGAGGCAGCAGUGGGGAAUAUUGGGCAAUGGGCGCAAGCCUGACCCAGCAAUGCCGCGUGAAGGAAGAAGGCCCUCGGGUUGUAAACUUCUUUUAUCAGGGACGAAGGAUGUGACGGUACCUGAUGAAUAAGCUCCGGCUAACUACGUGCCAGCAGCCGCGGUAAUACGGAGGAUGCGAGCGUUAUCCGGAUUUAUUGGGUUUAAAGGGUGCGUAGGCGGAUUUUUAAGUCAGCGGUAAAAUGUCCGGGCUCAACCCGGGCCGGCCGUUGAAACUGGGGAUCUUGAGUGGGCGAGA
This 305-nucleotide ribosomal RNA is filed under the name uncultured bacterium. RNAcentral's name for it is "bacterial SSU rRNA". It matches the Rfam family "Bacterial small subunit ribosomal RNA", at positions 334 to 655 of the family's 1533-position model. The record is from RNAcentral.